RNAcentral lists this non-coding RNA (86 nucleotides) under Mesobacillus selenatarsenatis. RNAcentral describes it as "Bacillus selenatarsenatis c-di-GMP sequence". It matches the Rfam family "c-di-GMP-I riboswitch aptamer". From Rfam's summary of the family: GEMM was predicted in a large-scale screen for bacterial structured RNA regulatory elements. Genes associated with GEMM are involved in a diverse array of functions, including chemotaxis regulation, signal transduction, secretion and chitin. The record is from RNAcentral. RNAcentral also lists the same sequence under 2 other names. Lineage: Bacteria; Bacillati; Bacillota; Bacilli; Caryophanales; Bacillaceae.
UACAGAAAAAGGCAAACUUGUUGAAAAACUAGGACGCAAAGUCACGGAUCUAAGGUGCGAUGUACUAUGAUGGCCGGACUGCCUGG